Molecule: long non-coding RNA, 959 nt
Organism: Pangasianodon hypophthalmus (striped catfish)
Lineage: Eukaryota; Metazoa; Chordata; Actinopteri; Siluriformes; Pangasiidae
Exons: 3
Source: RefSeq, a predicted model, not a curated record
UUGUCUAAUUACAAAUAUUUAGAUUUUUCACAAAACCUAAAAAUCUCUAGAAAUCUCUGAGCCAGUAUUUGAGUUCAGGAAACAGUGGAAUAGAUAAUAAUAUGAAGGUUUAUGGUAAGCGCUGCAUGCUAGAUGUGGCAGAAAUUCCCAGUUAACUUCUUGAAUCAAUAUUUGCAACCUCGCAAUACAUUUUAGCAUCAACUGCUAAAUUUCUGGAAAAUCCUUAAACAAAAAGAAAUGCUCUCAAACAGCAUUUAAAUAUCACACCAGAGAAUCAUCUUUUAGGACAAAUGCCCAAUUAUGUACCAAAAUGUGUUUGCUACAGUUUAUUGAAUAAAUCAUUAUUUCUAAUAUUCUGAUUUCUUUAACUGCGUAUAUAACUGCUAACUUUCUUUUAUGUCAAAUUUGUAAACAGUUUGUAGUUGUUGAUUCCAACACUGAUAAGAUUAUCAUAGUUUUUUGUCGCAGCAGUAUUGACAUUGUGAUAUUUACUGUGUGACAGAGAGAUCUGUGGAUUCUGUAGUGAUCUGCCUCGCUGUAGCUUUGGGACUCUGUGUGGUUGUGAUCUUUGCUUUGAUCUUUGUCCUAAGUAAAAGGAGAAACUCUGAACAAUGCAAGGUGAGACUCAAACAAGGUUCUGUGAGAGACAAGACCCUCAAUCAGGACUGUGACAAUGUGGAGCUGAAUUACGCCGCCUUACAUUUCAAUGAGAGGAGAGCCAAAAGAGGAAGAGUAAAGAAACAACAACCUCAAGAUAUUAUAUAUUCUGAUGUGCGAGGUCCUUCUGUAACUUAGAUUUGAUCUCUAAUAUGAUUCAGUGUCAUUAGUUCUGUUAUCAGGUUUACUGUAUAUAUGUUUUGUUAAUGAUUGUUCAGUCUGAAUUCAAACUGAAAGCUGAAUGACGUAGAAGUCUCAAAAUCACUGAAACACUGGAGCACUGGUUCUGCCAAGGAGUGAAG